UAUUUUUGGCCACUCCAAGAAUGUACAGCAUUUAUUUUAAUAAACUAAGACGUUAAAAAAAAAAAAAAAGGUUGAGAUGCACCAAAUUCGGUACUGAGAGACAGCAAAACAUUGUUGAUGCUUUAUAAGGACAGAGGACAGACUUGUUUUUAAUUCGCACAAAUACAGUCAUGCAAUUUCCCUGGUCACUCAAGAAGAAAUAUCAAUUACUGUGUUACUUUUUUUUUUAGUGGCCAUUGGUUGAUGCCGUUAUUUACAAUCCACAAGAAUUGUUUUCCAAAGAGAUACUCCACUGGAAACAUGCCACAGCAUGCACUUAGCUGGUUGCUAAACACUGAGUUGUUUGAUUCCUCUUUAAGGAUAGGAGGUAUGACUCUGCAUAUACUGGUACAUGAUUCUGGCAAGACAUUUUAAAUUUAUGGUGAGCGUAUGUGUACCAGGGUGAAAAUGGGAUGUUCUUGUAGAAUAUAAUGCACAUUAUCUGACUUCUGGAAGUUAAUAUUCUAAAGGAGAGAAGCCCAUAAUCCUAUUAAAUAUAGUGUACAUACAACUAUGAAGAUGUAUACUUAAUUUUUAAAUUUUGGUCUUUCUUUUGGAGUCAGAGGAGGAAAGUUGCUGAUUGAAAAUCAGAGGCUAAAGAAAACAGAAUUAGGGCUUGGUGUGAUAGCAGAGUCUUGAUGUACAGUGCACAGAUUGCGCUUGCAUAAAUAUUACAUAUUUUAAGUGGAUUUUUCCAAAUUCGAAAUAUAAUGAAAUCUUUUCAAAAGAAUGGCCAUCACAGAUGGGAAACAAUUUCAGGCAUAGCAGCUCAUUCAAUAAAGAGGUGGGACCAGAGUAAUAGGCAUUAUUAGUACAACAGUAUACUGUGCAAGGUGAAAACUGUAGCAGUAGAGUUCUGAUCUUCACUCAAGACAAGUAGUUUUUGUUUCCUUUACACAUCAUAGAUAGAUAUGCAAAUAUGCUAUUCUUUUCCCUUUCUUCUGAAAAGCUUCUUUUUUGCACAAGUCCAUAAUACAUGAUUCACAACCACACCUAACUCUUUUCCUGAGAAUCAGUCAUUGAUCCCAUGCUGAUUGAUAUGAAAUCUGGAUGAACUAGCGAUUGGGAAGAGUCCUGAAGAGACAGGGCAGGGAGUGAGAGUGUUGUUGGUUCACAAACUAGCCCGCAUACUCGAGGACAAGGAGCUAGUGAAGAAAGAGACCACUCCAGAUUGGUAGGUGGUGGUGUUACCAAGCUGCUUGAUGUGUACAGAAGCCAAUACUAUGGCCCCAGCUUUCGAGAGACAAAAAAGCGCUAUUGUGAGUCCUGCUGCAAGGAGACAUGAGGCACAGCUCAAAUCUCUCCUUGGGGUUCUGUCAAACGUCAUGAGUUAGGGGAGGAGGGCUGGUAUGCUAAGCCCUGGCAAGGCAGAGUCUGAUGGGAGGGCUCUGGAACUUGGCCAUUACGUGAGGUGUGGGAAAGGGGCUCCAGCACCACAUUUUCCCGGACGACGGACCAGUCCUUUCUGAAAGGGUUCCGGCGUUCAGGUUCCUGUCAAGACGUGCUUUUAGUUCCGAGGCAGAAGGGAAUUUGGUUCCGGGUGUUGCCGAGGUCAAAGCCCUCUCCUCCGCGCAUGCUUCGGCUGCUCGGCCUGCGGUUUUGUUCUGCUGGCUCUGAAAAUCUGUUCAGGGUCUUAGAACCAGGGGAGGGCCGGUUUGCGGGCUGGUUCUGUGGUUACAGCAGGUUUAAUAAGCAACGGAACUUGCACAGGACGCUUGUCUCUGGUAGCCGCAAAUCGAGGAAAUCUCCACAGGAGCCUGGCAGAAUUUUUGAAGUUUAUAUCGAGGCCUCAACAGAGUUCAUUCCGCCGUACCUUCCAGAUGGUCUCAGCCACACCUUAUUCCCUCAAAGCCGUGCCCUUGAAAUAGCUCCUAGUGUGGGAAUGAUGGCAGAACGCACAUUCCAAGGACUGGAGAGGGUAAGGAGCCUCCAGUUGCCUGGAUUCAGGUUUAAGUCAACCAGUGGUAACAUCCUCUCGCUGACCUCCUCAACAAGUGUUUCUUAUGAUUUCAAGUUAAUUGAGCCUGAGGACAUGUAUGUGGUUUCCUAUAGUACAGAGGCUGGAGUGAAAAAGAAUGUCUUUGUGGGUUUUCAGAACAAGUUUCAAGUAUCUGGACUACAGCAAUUACAGAAAAAGGAAUGAUGACCUUAAAUCAUGAACGGGCAUUUGUCACUGAGCAUCUCAAAUACCGGAUAGAAAUCUUGCUUCUUUCAGAAAUUUACCCCAGACUGGAGCUACCAAUCACAGUUACUGAAGUGAAGCCUUUCAAGAAGAUGGUUCCAAUGCUCUCUUUCCAAAAACUGCCCAGUUCCAAAUUUGCCCACUGGGAAGCAGUGAAAAGAGAAUGGAAUUUAAAGUCCUGAAGACCCAGGUAUGAAUCUUGGCUUUAACACUUCUUAGUUGUGCAUUUGGUCAUAUGUUUUAAUGUCUCUGCACUUCAAAUUCUUCAUCAUUUAUUUAUUCAUUUAACAAAUAUGUAAUGAAUUCAUAUUACAUGCCAAUUAUUCUUCCACGCACUGGGGAUAUAAUGUUAAUAAAAAAAAUAAAUAUAGUUCAUGAUCUCUUAGAAUCUCCAUUCCAGUGGCAUAGGCAAGACUUCAUCAGAUAUUUACACUGUGGAACAUAAAUCUGCAAAGUAUAAUACAUUUUCCAAAGAGAACUUUUCUAUAAUGGUUGGGGGAUGAAAGUAUUUUGAGAAAGUGUUCCCUUAGACAGCCUGAUGCUUAGCUGAGAUUGCAAGAAAAAGAAAACCAACGAGGUAGAACGCUUUGGGGAGAGGGAUGGGAAAGAUGAUUCUCCACAGAGGUAAAAGGUGUGCAGAUAGACACCCGGUAGUAGGAGGGAGUGUGGCUUAUUGAAGAAACUUUAGAGCCGAGAGCUCGGUGCAGGUAGGAAAGUUAUACAGGUAAGGAUGGACAGGUGAGGAAGUGACAGUGAUGCUCCUCAAGUACCCAUUUACUCAUGUACGACAUGAGAUUUCACUUGGGGGAGCUCUAUGAAUAGUGUCACAUUUGUGCUGAGGGAUUAAAGUCCAUGCAGAAUUACCUAGUUCCUCUUCCCCCCCGUAAUGAUUGAGGACACCUUGUAUUGUGGCAAAGCCUCCAAAGGUAAGUGGCCUGGAUGUAACUUAUUGUCUGGAGGACAAGUGUUCUGAAGGGAUGAAUCAUUCUAUGGAAGACUGAGUAAAUAAAAAAAUAAGAAUAUACUUUGUUAGGCCACUGAUAUUUUAAGGCUGUUACUGAAGCACAACAUAGCCUAACCUGACUCUUAUAGAUGGUGUCCAGCUACUUGGGGCCUUACAGAUCAAAUUAAUAAUUUGGAUCAUUUUUUUUCUGAGACCAAUGGGAAAGUACUGAAUUAUAUUAAAAUAAACAGAAAUUAUUAGGUAUUUUUCUUUGAAAAAACCCAUUCUCUAAUAAAUACUUGCAGGAAUGAUAAGGAAAGUGAGAUUAAGAGAGUUCUGACAACUGUAAACAGAAUCACAGCUACUGCUGUCAUCAUCACAAAGAGAGUCCAAGUAAGAAAAAUUAAGUCUGAAAUUUUGCAAGAUGCAAACCAUCAAACAAAUAUUCUUUUGUUUUAUUUGAAUCUGCUUUCCCCUAGCCUUAGAAGCCCACAUCUUUGAUCAAUCUGCUGUCCUCUGUGUGGUUGUCAUCCACAUACUGAAAAGUAAUUCUGUGAAAUUGGCUAGGCUGUUCUGCCCUGCCAUCAAUAGCAAUUUGGUACAUAUGGAUUUGAAAAUGGAACAUUGCUUAAUGGGAAAGUCCUCAAAUGUUUCAAAGUCAAGUUUUCAAUCUCCACCCUUGCUGAGAUGCCAACAUGUGUUACUUUAACUCAGUCACAAAUAAGAUGUUCUCAUUUCUUCUUCUUUUGCUAAUCAGUCAAAGUUUGGAUUGAUAAAUACAUUUGGAACCUGGCUGAGUAACGUAGUAAAUUUCAGAAAGUGAGCUUUUUAUGACAUUUUGUUAGAUGCUAUUUCUACAGAGCAAAUCAUGGAGAAUCUUGAUUCUAUGCCCUGUGAAGUUAAUACAGAGGGACAUUUAAUCAACGAUGUACAAAAAAAAAAAAAAAUUGUACAUACAUGUUUUAGUUGUAUGGGGGGAAUGAGCUGACCAGAGACAAACACAACCCUUGUCCUGCCUGAGUUUACAGUAAGGGGAUAGGACAACUGUAGCUACCUUCUUUGGUCAAAUUUGCUUUACUGAUAAUGGAAAGGUAACCUAACUUGUUACUAUUUAUUAACCAUCUAAUAGAUGAUAGAAGUUGUACUAGGGUAUUUUUAAUUAUUAAAUAACUUAAAUUUUAGUACUCUCAUUUAAUUUUUGUAAUAACAGAAAUUGUCCCUCUGUGGUAGACAGUGUGUAAAGAGCUUUAUAUACAGUGUUUCAGCAGCUCCUUGCUACAGCCCUGGUACAAGGGGGUUAUUAACCACAUUCUGCAGAAGAGAAAAUUAAGGCUCAGAGACAUGUCUUGAUGUCCCCAAUCAUAUGUGAUAUGCAUCCCAUAUCCAUGCUCUUUUUCUUGCUACCAUGCAUAGAA
Sus scrofa (pig) is the source of this 4579-nucleotide RNA transcript. RefSeq lists it as uncharacterized. NCBI's taxonomy places the organism in Eukaryota, Metazoa, Chordata, Mammalia, Artiodactyla, Suidae. The record is from RefSeq and is a predicted model, not a curated record.